RNAcentral lists this ribosomal RNA (650 nucleotides) under uncultured bacterium. RNAcentral describes it as "bacterial SSU rRNA". It matches the Rfam family "Bacterial small subunit ribosomal RNA", at positions 61 to 703 of the family's 1533-position model. The record is from RNAcentral.
GUCGAGGGGCAGCACAAGGUAGCAAUACUGAGGUGGCGACCGGCGCACGGGUGAGUAACGCGUAUGCAACCUGCCUGUAACAGGGGAAUAGCCUCUUGAAAGAGAGAUUAAUGCCGCAUAAUACGAUAUUCGGGCAUCCGGGUAUUUUUAAACAUUUAUGGGUUACAGAUGGGCAUGCGUUUCAUUAGGUAGUUGGUGAGGUAACGGCUCACCAAGCCGACGAUGAAUAGGGGUUCUGAGAGGAAGGUCCCCCACACUGGUACUGAGACACGGACCAGACUCCUACGGGAGGCAGCAGUGAGGAAUAUUGGUCAAUGGACGCAAGUCUGAACCAGCCAAGUCGCGUGAAGGAUGAAGGUAUUAUGUAUUGUAAACUUCUUUUGUCAGGGAAUAAUGGGUGUCACGUGUGACGCAGAGGAAUGUACCUGACGAAUAAGCAUCGGCUAACUCCGUGCCAGCAGCCGCGGUAAUACGGAGGAUGCGAGCGUUAUCCGGAUUUAUUGGGUUUAAAGGGUGCGUAGGCGGUUUGUUAAGUCAGUGGUGAAAGUUUGCGGCUCAACCGUAAAAUUGCCAUUGAAACUGGCGAACUUGAGUACAGUAGAGGUAGGCGGAAUUCGUGGUGUAGCGGUGAAAUGCUUAGAUAUCACGAA